Molecule: non-coding RNA, 3953 nt
Organism: Neolamprologus brichardi
Lineage: Eukaryota; Metazoa; Chordata; Actinopteri; Cichliformes; Cichlidae
Source: RefSeq, a predicted model, not a curated record
CGUGCUGGCACAUGAACUCAGAUGGACCUCAUAUCUUUACCUCCUUAACUCAAAGUAACGUUACGAGUUGUAUGAACACUGCUUGCUUCAUGAUAAGACAGCAGCCGUUCAACUAGGCCUUGUAAGGUUAGUGAAGAGUGUGUUUAUUAAAGGACAAGCACUGUGGAAUUCCCAGUACCAGUGUUGUCGUGGGCUGAGUGGUCCUCUCAACCACUGAAUACAACCCACGUUACAGUAUUCUUUAUAUUAUUCUCUCAACUGACAUUUUUAAAUAAAACUUUCCUUAUACCAGCCCCUCGUGGCUUACUGCCAGCCACAGACUUGCUGUUAAUUCAAGUGGGAGGGAAAAAGUAGAUGAUGAGGAAAAGUUGGCACUAUACUGUAUAAAACUAGGUGUUGGUGUGAGGGAGAGCAACAUGUUGCGUACUUCUGAGGAGCCUCUAAUGUUUUUUUUAGCUGCUGUACAUGCAAUCCUUUCCUGGCUGCAGUGAAAUCCUCACAUAUAGUUCUAAGUUUAAAGUUUGUGAAGUUUCAGGUCUAGCUCAACAUUGGCAGCUGCCUCGGUUUUUGAUUAAUGCUGGACAGAAUGCCAGGACAUAUCGGCAUAUGGUUGUCUUUUGGCAUACUGUGGCCACUUCUGCUGGCUGUCGGCGCAAUUGAAUGUUCAGAAAAAGAAACACUGAUCAACCCGCUUCCCAGGAGGGUGAUACAACCAAGUGACUGUUUAAUGGAGUGUACUGGGAUGACAUACAUCAAAAAAUUGCAGCUUCAGGACAAUCAUAACAUUCGGCUGUCAGACUCAACUGAAGGAGACCUCGGGGAAUACUGUUGGCCUACUGACCUCAAGUGCAACAUUGGUGAGAGCUUUUUGCAUGCCUACGCGGUAUUGCCUGUGGAUAUAUCUGCUGUGGGACAUGAGCAACUGGAGGUCAAAGCCACUGCUCCAGCUGCCACUACACUACAUGCACAUAACAGCCCUACAACAAUCGCAGAGAGCUGCGGCCUUCGUUACGACGUCACACGGCAUUUCAGCACACAGAACGCUGGGACAUCGCUCUGCAUCCAGGUUGCUACCCAGGAAGAUGCUCUGGGGGACACAGUUCUUAAAUGUCCUCCAUAUCUGGUCACCUUCUGGCAAAGAAGUGCAAAUCGGCGCCAACAACAAAGUGCUGGAUAAAAUAUCAGAGGUAGAGGUAUCCAGAUCUUUUAAGUAAAACCACCAAUUAGGAUAUUAAAUAAUAUGAAAGGUCCUGCAUUUUUAGAAAUUUUAAUGGAAGUAUUAGAUGCAAAUGUACAGAAUGAAUAAAAGAAAAGAACAGCCUCUUUGUCACAAAGGAGAUGGCGCUCACUCUAUAACUUAUGGUGAUUUUCUUUAAAAAUUGGCAUUGUUUGCUUUUCAUUAAUUUAAAACUGCCACAUACCCACAGGGGUUAGUAUAAAAUUGUCACACAGCUUGUUUUUUUUUAUCUAGUUAAUUUGAUCAUACCUGGAAGCUGGAAGUGUUACAUUCUUAUUGCUUAUAUAAACGGUUUAGACAUUUUACUUUAUUUGUUCUUUUCAUACUUUGUAUGUUAAAAGCUUACUUUCUAAAGUAUCUAGUAAGUAAACCUUUCAGACUAAUAGAAUAGAAUAAAAUGUUCACUAUUUCCUUGUGAGCUGUUUUGAAGUAACAAGUGUGUUUGGAAGUGGUUGUAAUUUAUACUUAAGUCGCCAACAGCAAUAAGGAAAAUCUAUUGUGGGUCUCCAAAGCCCAAUAAUAAAAUAGGGUAUCAGAGAUGCUAGUAAUGGAUGGUUAUGCUUGGAUUGUAAUUCAGGGGUAAGGCUGGGGCAGAAAAGAUUAAUAACUGUAAUUUCUCUAUAUUCUUAAGCAAGUUUAGAUUUAUUUUCUAGUGCUCUCGAUGUGCAUUUAAAUCCCUUACCUGAGUGAACGGAAAAUGAGAGUGAGGUCCACAAGUUCACUAAACUUGGAAAGCCAUGUGAGUGAUAGUAACGAUAUUAUUUACUAUUCUGACGAAAUGCAUUUAAUGCACUUGCUAUGAUCAGUGAAGCUGUAUACUACAUUCUUUCAGAAAUAUGUUUUAAGAUGAGGAUCAAGCAUAUGAGCAUGAUGACGUGGGUGUUAUGAACAUUAUAUGGCACAUGUACUUGUAUUAUCCACAAUAAUAUUCUUAUGAUAUAUAUUUGGUUUAUGUGACUUCAGUUGUAAGGGUGUUUCGUGGCACUGAAUGAUUUUAGAUGUGUCAACUCGGAAACUUUCAGGGCAAACUUGUUGCUCUGCUGACUUAUUCAAAGGCAAAAAGCUAUGUAAAUGUUCUCUCUAAAUGAAGAAUGCAAUGAUGUUAAUGUUGUGUUGAUAGUUUAAUAUUAAACCAUUUCAUUUUCCUUUCACUCACACAUCUUUAUUGAGUUUAACUAUUUAAGAAGGCUAUAAUAAGAUGUGAUUGUAAACAUAUUUUUGCUCUUUUUCCCACUUCCAUUUUGUCUGUUUGUUUAUUUUUAUUCAGUUGUUAUGCAUAAAAUCCUCACAAUGUAUCUUUUUGCAUUUCAUUACUACACAAGGACAUAAUAUACUGCCACCUCCUGGGUAUGAUGUAAACUAAUGGAAGUACUGGAAUUAAGUCCCGUUUACUGUCCAACCACUGGAUGGCAGACUUCUUACAGGGUAGUACUGCACCAGACUAACAAUCAGUAUAAAUAAAUAAUUUACUGCCAUAAAAAAAAAAACUACAACUAGGGUGUACAAGUAGGGUGAAACACCAGUUUCUCUGUGAAAUGUUGAGCAUUAUUCCUGUCUUUUAACAAACACCAUAUUUCACAUAUUCCACCAAAAUGUGGACAAGAAAAUCCACAAAGGUGCUUCAAGUAGGCUCAUUUUCCAUUGCAGUUUUUGUGAUCUGUCUCAAAAUAAUAAUCAGUUGUUUAAAAUAAUUAGUGGAAUUAUUCCUAAUGAUCACCCUAGUAUAAAAGAAAAUCCAUUUGAAUUGACUAAUCAAUCACAGCGUUAGUUUGGUCAUGACAAAAAGUCAUCCUAAGCAAACCUUGGCAAAUCUCAGUGCCAGAAUACAUCAGCUGAUGGCUGAGCUGAUACCCUUUAAUACACACAAUUGGAAAAUUUCAUGUAGUCUGUCUACAUUUACUGAACAUCUGCAAGUGGUUUUGCAAACCACCCCAUCCCAGCUCUCUUCUAUGCAUGACGUAAUCAGUGCCAUAUCUGUUGUUAUUGAUGUACUGUUUUGUAUGGAUUGAAGGGGUUUGGGUGGGCAGUGGGGGAAAACCUUUUUCUGUUACAGUGUAGACACACUAUUAAGCCUAAGCUCUAUUAAGGCUUAAAUGAAGGAGGGUUUUUGUUGGUGUGCUCUGCUGGCAGGCGACCAGGGGAAGCAUAACAUAACCUUCCUAUUGGGCCUCCAGACAGACCUUUCUCUGCCUGUAUUAAAAUAGAAAUGUCAUGAAAGGUGUGACAAAGAUGAAGAGUGAGUCAGGACAUUCUGCCUGUCUUAAUCACCACCAACAAAUAAUCACAAGAAAGUGUGAAAAGAAAAGAAAAAAGGUAUCUUGUGUGUUUAAAAGCCAGUCAUACUUGCCUUUAAGCCGUCUGCUUUCUUACUGAGUCAUUUUUUAAGUUCAAUGGAUACAUAUUGCCAAGAACAAUUUAUUCACGUGUCACCUCAAAUGAUCUUAUUUAUGAAUGAAUAUUAGUCAAAUAUAUCAAACAGGACCACACAGGACAAAGGGGAUGAUUUUCCUAAAUCAGAUUUUUUAAAUCUCUCUUUUUCCAUUACGUAUAAUCAUGAGAUCAAAUGAUUAUUUGCUGUAGGGUUUUCAAUACUAAAAUUAUGGCAAGAGCUCACUGUAAAUAAUAAAUAUUAUAAAAUAAAGCAUUGUUUUUGUUUAUGUACAUUUUACAUGUUUUGUUAUAUCAUAUUAUAAUAAAAUCACUUACUUAUUCUCUA